GACCCCUUCGUCUAGUGGACCAGGACUCCAGAUUUUCAUUCUGGCAACAGGGGUUCGAUUCCCCUAGGGGUCGCCA
This 76-nucleotide transfer RNA is filed under the name Candidatus Cloacimonadota bacterium. RNAcentral's name for it is "tRNA-Glu". It matches the Rfam family "tRNA". From Rfam's summary of the family: Transfer RNA (tRNA) molecules are approximately 80 nucleotides in length. Their secondary structure includes four short double-helical elements and three loops (D, anti-codon, and T loops). Further hydrogen bonds mediate the characteristic L-shaped molecular structure. tRNAs have two regions of fundamental functional importance: the anti-codon, which is responsible for specific mRNA codon recognition, and the 3' end, to which the tRNAs corresponding amino acid is attached (by aminoacyl-tRNA synthetases). tRNAs cope with the degeneracy of the genetic code in two manners: having more than one tRNA (with a specific anti-codon) for a particular amino acid; and 'wobble' base-pairing, i.e. permitting non-standard base-pairing at the 3rd anti-codon position. The record is from RNAcentral. RNAcentral also lists the same sequence under 1 other name. Lineage: Bacteria; Pseudomonadati; Candidatus Cloacimonadota.